GGGGGCCUCGGUGGCCGAGUGGUCUAAGUAGUUACUACUGUAAUCACUAGCCAGUCAACACUGAGGUUGUGAGUUCGAACCUCGCUCGUGCAGGUGCACUCGACUCCAAUCUUAAUUGACUAGGAUUGUCAGUUUUCCUAUCGAAGGUCGGUGGUUUUCUCCGGGCUCUCCGGCUUCCUCCACCAAUAAAAACUGGUCGCCAUGAAAUAGCCCAAAAGCGGUGCUUAAAA
This 230-nucleotide long non-coding RNA is filed under the name Mytilus galloprovincialis (Mediterranean mussel). Lineage: Eukaryota; Metazoa; Mollusca; Bivalvia; Mytilida; Mytilidae. The record is from RNAcentral.